UACGAAGGGGGCUAGCGUUGUUCGGAAUUACUGGGCGUAAAGCGCACGUAGGCGGCCAUUUAAGUCAGGGGUGAAAUCCCGGGGCUCAACCCCGGAACUGCCUUUGAUACUGGGUGUCUCGAGUCUGGAAGAGGUGAGUGGAAUUCCGAGUGUAGAGGUGAAAUUCGUAGAUAUUCGGAGGAACACCAGUGGCGAAGGCGGCUCACUGGUCCGGUACUGACGCUGAGGUGCGAAAGCGUGGGGAGCAAACAGG
This 253-nucleotide ribosomal RNA is filed under the name uncultured bacterium. RNAcentral's name for it is "partial 16S ribosomal RNA". It matches the Rfam family "Bacterial small subunit ribosomal RNA", at positions 524 to 776 of the family's 1533-position model. The record is from RNAcentral.